Molecule: ribosomal RNA, 398 nt
Filed under: uncultured bacterium
Lineage: Bacteria
Description: bacterial SSU rRNA
Rfam family: Bacterial small subunit ribosomal RNA
Source: RNAcentral
GAUGAACGCUGGCGGCGUGCCUAAUACAUGCAAGUCGAACGAGGUGCUUUUGUAGCAAUACGAGAGUAUCCUAGUGGCGAACGGGUGAGUAACGCGUGGAUGACCUGCCCCAAAGGUGUGGGAUAACAGUCCGAAAGGAUUGCUAAUACCUCAUGUGGUUAUCGGUUUUAGAAAGCGAUAACUAAAGCAGCAAUGCGCUUUGGGAGGGAUCUGCGUCCCAUCAGCUAGUUGGUGAGGUAACGGCUCACCAAGGCGACGACGGGUAGGGGACCUGAGAGGGUGGCCCCCCANAAUGGAACUGAAACACGGUCCAUACACCUACGGGUGGCAGCAGUAGGGAAUAUUGCUCAAUGGGCGAAAGCCUGAAGCAGCAACGCCGNGUGUGCGAUGAAGGCCUU